UACAGAGGGUGCAAGCGUUACUCGGAAUUACUGGGCGUAAAGCGUGCGUAGACGGUUAUGUAAGUCAGAUGUGAAAGCCCCGGGCUUAACCUGGGAAUGGCAUUUGAGACUGCAUAGCUAGGGUGCGGAAGAGGGAAGCGGAACUUCCGGUGUAGCGGUGAAAUGCGUAGAUAUCGGAAGGAACACCAGUGGCGAAAGCGGCUUCCUGGUCCAGCACCGACGUUCAGGCACGAAAGCGUGGGGAGCAAACAGG
Molecule: ribosomal RNA, 253 nt
Filed under: uncultured bacterium
Lineage: Bacteria
Description: partial 16S ribosomal RNA
Rfam family: Bacterial small subunit ribosomal RNA
Source: RNAcentral